Molecule: long non-coding RNA, 1222 nt
Organism: Coregonus clupeaformis (lake whitefish)
Lineage: Eukaryota; Metazoa; Chordata; Actinopteri; Salmoniformes; Salmonidae
Exons: 2
Source: RefSeq, a predicted model, not a curated record
CCUGUUGGAGAAAUUGUACAUAAGUUAUUCUACUCAUUUACUAUAUUUCAUUAUGCCAUUUCAGUACUGAAUUGUUAUUUUCAUAAUGUGUGCUUGUGUGAGUAUGAUUACAGGACGAGUGAAUGUGAGGAAGAUUAGCAGUCAAGGUCGCGUCCAGCGAGGAGGAACCAGCUGCAUGAGUUAGAAAAACAACUAAUCUCAGAAUGUGGGCACGCUCGGACAGUGUGCCAAGAUAGAAGAAGUCACACUCAGAUAAUGGAAUAUGUGAACUGGUUUCAACUGGAUCUGUUUAUGCACCCUUCCCCAUUAGCAGUUGAAACCUUCUGUAACUAGGGCGUUCCUAACUUAAUAAAAUGCAAGAGGAGCGGAGACUGAUUCAGAGUGGUUUUGGAGGAUUGUAACUGAGCAGUCUCCGAGCACUCUCCUUGCAAGUAAAAUAUACUAAAUUCUCUGUGUCUUUUCUUGUGCAGGUUAUUCUUAUAAAUGUUGGGGGUUUAAACCUAACAUUUAAAUGGUCCUUCGAGCCGGAUGCCAAGAUACCUGACGAUCCCAGCGGGCGAGUGAGAUCCAGACAAGUCUGUGGCCACAGCAUUAAGACCCUUUUACGGGACUGGUCCCUCCCUUGCAGGCUGGGAUCCGAUGGUUGAAGGUAGAUCCAAGAACGCAGAGAAUUAAAGACCAGUUAGUUGAACCAGGAGACUGGGUCCUGAUAAAAAGUAUAAAGAAGAAGCAUUGGCACUCACCUAAGUGGGAAGGACCCUACCAAGUGCUGUUAACCACAGGUACCGCAGUAAAGAUUGCAGAACGUAGUACAUGGAUUCAUUUGACCCACUGUAAAAGAAUAAUUGGACAUGUCUAAAAUAACUAUUUCCAUCAUACUGUUCGUAGUCACCAUUCUUAUAUGUUUCAUAGUGAUAACUCGAUGGUAUCUGCUGUAGCGUUGUAGCUCUUCAACGUACCACCAGAGAAAGUCCGGUUACAAAGGGAACUGUAAUUUUAGUUUGCAGUUGUCUCAAACCCGGUGAAGAUUGUCCACCACUCUGUUGUAGGUAAAUAGGAGGAGUUCCAAUCUACAGCAGAAUGAUCACUCAAGCGCAUAAAAAGAUGGUGGCAGUGGGUGGAAUAGUUGGAAUGAUUAUAGUGGUGUCAUUACUGUUGUGGGAGAAGAAUCAUAGUGUGCAGAAGAGAAGGGUGGGCUAUUAUAACACCAAACCGUCGCAAA